GUCUACGGCCAUGCUACCCUGAACAUGCCCAAUCCCGUCUGAUCUCGGAAGCUAAACAGGGACGGGCCUGGUUAGUACUUGGAUGGGAGACCACCUAGGAAGGCCAGGUGCUGUAGGUG
RNAcentral lists this ribosomal RNA (119 nucleotides) under Pteropus alecto (black flying fox). The record is from RNAcentral. RNAcentral also lists the same sequence under 1 other name. Lineage: Eukaryota; Metazoa; Chordata; Mammalia; Chiroptera; Pteropodidae.